UACGAAGGGGGCUAGCGUUGCUCGGAAUCACUGGGCGUAAAGCGCACGUAGGCGGAUCUUUAAGUCAGGGGUGAAAUCCCAAGGCUCAACCUUGGAACUGCCUUUGAUACUGAGGAUCUUGAGUUCGGGAGAGGUGAGUGGAACUGCGAGUGUAGAGGUGAAAUUCGUAGAUAUUCGCAAGAACACCAGUGGCGAAGGCGGCUCACUGGCCCGAUACUGACGCUGAGGCACGAAAGCGUGGGGAGCAAACAGG
RNAcentral lists this ribosomal RNA (253 nucleotides) under uncultured bacterium. RNAcentral's name for it is "partial 16S ribosomal RNA". It matches the Rfam family "Bacterial small subunit ribosomal RNA", at positions 524 to 776 of the family's 1533-position model. The record is from RNAcentral.